RNAcentral lists this ribosomal RNA (253 nucleotides) under uncultured bacterium. Its description in RNAcentral is "partial 16S ribosomal RNA". It matches the Rfam family "Bacterial small subunit ribosomal RNA", at positions 524 to 776 of the family's 1533-position model. The record is from RNAcentral.
UACAUGGGGUGCAAACGUUGCUCGGAAUUAUUGGGCGUAAAGCGCACGUAGGCGGUUCGUUAAGUCGGAUGUGAAAGCCCUCGGCUCAACUGAGGAAGUGCACCCGAAACUGGCGAGCUUGAGUACGAAAGAGGAUCGCGGAAUUCCCGGUGUAGAGGUGAAAUUCGUAGAUAUUCGCAAGAACACCAGUGGCGAAGGCGGCUCACUGGACCGGAACUGACGCUGAGGCGCGAAAGCGUGGGGAGCAAACGGG